RNAcentral lists this non-coding RNA (26 nucleotides) under Rattus norvegicus (Norway rat). The record is from RNAcentral. Lineage: Eukaryota; Metazoa; Chordata; Mammalia; Rodentia; Muridae.
UAAAGAAGACUAGAUUUCGGGACAGU